CAAUAGCGUAUAUUAAAGCUGUUGCGGUUAAAAAGCUCAUAGUUGGAUUUCUGUCAAGGACAACUGGUCCGCCCUCCGGGUGAGCACAUAGUUUGGUCUUGACAUCUUGCUGGAAGCUGUUGCUGCACUUGGCUGUGUGGCGCAGUGUUCAGCACUUUCACUUUGAGGAAAUUGGAGUGUUUCAAGCAGGCACAUGCCUUUGGACACAGUAGCAUGGAAUAAUUAGAUUGGGCUUUUGCUCCAAUUUGUCGGUUUCUGGAGCUGAGGUGAGUAUUAAUGGGGAUUGUUGGGGGCAUCCGAAUUUAGCCGUCAGAGGUGAAAUUCUUGGAUCUGCUAAAGACGGACAACUGCGAAAGCGUUUGCCCAGGAUGUUUUCAUUGA
This 381-nucleotide ribosomal RNA is filed under the name uncultured eukaryote. RNAcentral describes it as "partial 18S ribosomal RNA". It matches the Rfam family "Eukaryotic small subunit ribosomal RNA", at positions 592 to 976 of the family's 1831-position model. The record is from RNAcentral.